GACGAACGCUGGCGGCGUGCCUAAUACAUGCAAGUAGGACGCUGAAGGAGGAGCUUGCUUCUCUGGAUGAGUUGCGAACGGGAGAGUAACGCGUAGGUAACCUGCCUGGUAGCGGGGGAUAACUAUUGGAAACGAUAGCUAAUACCGCAUAAUAGUAGAUGUUGCAUGACAUUUGCUUAAAAGGUGCAAUUGCAUCACUACCAGAUGGACCUGCGUUGUAUUAGCUAGUUGGUGGGGUAACGGCUCACCAAGGCGACGAUACAUAGCCGACCUGAGAGGGUGAUCGGCCACACUGGGACUGAGACACGGCCCAGACUCCUACGGGAGGCAGCAGUAGGGAAUCUUCGGCAAUGGACGGAAGUCUGACCGAGCAACGCCGCGUGAGUGAAGAAGGUUUUCGGAUCGUAAAGCUCUGUUGUAAGAGAAGAACGAGUGUGAGAGUGGAAAGUUCACACUGUGACGGUAUCUUACCAGAAAGGGACGGCUAACUACGUG
RNAcentral lists this ribosomal RNA (495 nucleotides) under uncultured bacterium. RNAcentral describes it as "partial 16S ribosomal RNA". It matches the Rfam family "Bacterial small subunit ribosomal RNA", at positions 28 to 507 of the family's 1533-position model. The record is from RNAcentral.